GGCAGGGCAUCAGCAUGAGGGGAUAAAAGGCUGGGCUGAAGAACAAGAGGGGCAGUUGCUUGCCGCUUUCUGAGGUGGAAUGGUGUUAUUCUCUAUGGGCCUGAAGCCUUCUAAUGAGUGAAUAAGAAUCCAUGAAAAAUAGGAACAUGGGGGUAUUUGAAGCUUGUGACUGGGGAAGACACAGCACAUUGAUUUUACAGGCAUAUAGACUGUGAUGAUUUUUGCUUUCAAGGUACUGCUGAAGAAGGACAGAACUGUGGAAAUGUCACCAUGGCUGUUGGGUGCCUUGAGCUGAGGCCCGUUGGCUCCUGGUUGUUUUGGUUAACAAGGCAGAAGUUCCACAGCAACCUUUCUUACUCACAAUGAAAUGCUCCAGGAGAUGGAAUGCUGCAUUGUGAAAACCAGCAAAUAUGAAAACCAUUUGUGAAAGAACUCUGCAGAAGGAGAGAUGCUGCAACACUCUGACCAUCUUUGUGGUGACUCCUCUGGACUCACUCCAGCAGAUCUGUGUGCUUCUUAUGUUGGAAACCCCAGAGCUGGUUGGUGCAGUGCUCCAGGUAGGAUCUCAUGAGCAGAUUAGAGAAAGGGAACCCUUCCCACUCCAUGCUGGCCACAGAGCUUUUGAGGCAGCCCAGGAUACGAUUGGCUUUCUGGGCUGCAAGUGGAAACCGCCAGGUCAUCUCCAGCCUCUCAUCCACAAGUACUCCAAGUCCUCCUCAGCAGGGCUUUUCCCACUGCCCAGCCCUUGCUCAGAAUUGCUCCAACCCAGGUGCAGGACCUUGCACUUGGGCUCAUUGAACCUAUGACGUUUGCAUGGGCCCAUUUCUUCACCAGGGUCCCUCAGGAAGGUAUUGCAUCCCUCAGGUGUGCCAGCUGCGCCACUCAGCCUGGUGUUGUACUCAAGCUUCCUCACUCUGGGUGUGACCAUCCAGCCAAUUCCUUAUCUCCUGAGUAGUCCAUCCAUCACAUCCCUGUCUCUCCAAUGUAGAGACAAGGAUGUCAUGUAGUGCACUGCCAAAUACCUUGCACAAGUCCAGGAACGUAUCAGUCACUCUUUUAUCAUCCAUCAUGAGUGUAACCGAGUCAUAAAAGGCCAAAUUUGUCAGGCACAAUUUUCUCUUAGUGAAGCCAUGCUGACUUUCAUCAAUGACCUCCUUACUUUACAUAGGCCUUAGCACAGUUUCCAGGU
Long non-coding RNA from Zonotrichia leucophrys gambelii, 1189 nucleotides. RefSeq lists it as uncharacterized. The record is from RefSeq and is a predicted model, not a curated record. The transcript is spliced from 4 exons. NCBI's taxonomy places the organism in Eukaryota, Metazoa, Chordata, Aves, Passeriformes, Passerellidae.